GUGUCUACAAGUAGUCAAAGCACAUUAAAGUGCAAUGGCGUGCCUUUUGUAGAAUGAACCGGCGAGUUACGUUAUCUAGCGAGGUUAAGUCAGAUAAGACGGAGCCGGAGCGAAAGCGAGUCUUAAUAGGGCGAAAAGUUAGGUGACGUAGACCCGAAACCAAGUGACCUACCCAUGACCAGGCUGAAGGUGUGGUAAAACUCACUGGAGGGCCGAACCCACGUAAGUUAAAAAUUGCGGGGAUGAGUUGUGGGUAGCGGUGAAAUUCCAAAC
This 273-nucleotide ribosomal RNA is filed under the name Lactobacillus crispatus. Its description in RNAcentral is "partial 23S ribosomal RNA". It matches the Rfam family "Bacterial large subunit ribosomal RNA", at positions 560 to 834 of the family's 2925-position model. Lineage: Bacteria; Bacillati; Bacillota; Bacilli; Lactobacillales; Lactobacillaceae. The record is from RNAcentral.